GCGGCCCCGGGCGGUUACCGGUCUUCCAGGUUGCGCCUCCACAUCUUGCCUUGCGCGCCACCGGGGACCCGGGGUGGGAGCCCAACGAGCGCGGCUCCGGGGCGCCAGGGCGCGCGGGAACAGGAGCCGCCGCCACUUCCACCGAGAGGCGAGAGCGCGCUGUGCGCGCCGCCGCGCCUGGCCGGCGUUUCCGUGGCAACGCGGCGGGCGCCCCUGCGGUCAAGGGCAGGGCAAGGGAGACCAGACGGCAUUGGGCAGAGGGACCACCAAGCAUCCUCCUUCGGUGCUGCUCUGUAGCCCUCCCGGGCCGCUGGAAGUACAGGGGAAAACAACACACCAGUAACCGGAAGGGGGACGUGAAAGUAAAGGCCCUCGGGGGAUGUCCAAGUUCAGAACAUCUGGAAACGCUGCCAAGGAUAUGGCACAGCUGCAGUGGUGUGCAACACCUGCAUGUGUGCAGUGCAGCUGGCUAGUGCAUGCUUUACUCAUGCCCACCCUGCAAAGUGACCUUCUCCACCCAGCCUUCUCCAUCGCUGUCACUCACAGCUAAGUACCUGCUGCUCAAACCGUCAGGUGCCAACAAUGUGGGUAGUUCUGCCCUGACUAAGCCUUCUGAGGAUGAGAACACACCGGCGGAAGCACUGCCCCCUAAACUUCUGGAUUUGGAGGCUGCAGAUUCACACAACCCUCUCUGAUAGCAAAAUUAUUGUUCCGUGACUUGCAAGCUACAAAAGGAAACAAAAAUAGGAUUAUACAUAUGUAAUUGCAAUUGAUAAAAUAUUUACUGUGGCCUGAAAGACAUCUUUGCUCUCCUUUAUUUUCUUGCAUGGUGCCUUUUGGGUGAUAUAGAAGUCUUUUUUACUGCCUUAAGAAAGGCUAGUAGCCAGCAAUAAAUUAUUUGUCAUAGCUUUGGCCUUCUGA
This is a long non-coding RNA of Peromyscus eremicus (cactus mouse), 921 nucleotides long. RefSeq lists it as uncharacterized. The transcript is spliced from 2 exons. Lineage: Eukaryota; Metazoa; Chordata; Mammalia; Rodentia; Cricetidae. The record is from RefSeq and is a predicted model, not a curated record.